GACAUGGUCGGUAUGACAAACAUAUUAUCGAUAAUGUGAAAUCAAAUAUCCAAAAUAUCCCUAAGUUAAAUUAGUGUGUGUUUGGUAUAAGUAAAGGCUGUAGUGACCCUCGCCUAAUCCAACAGCGAUGUAUACAUGGAAGUAAACCUUACACCUUGAACACGACCAAAACCCUACCUUGGCACUCUCCCUUGGAGGUCUGCCCUGCCACCGACUACCAUCCACCGACCAAAUCCGGCC
Molecule: long non-coding RNA, 240 nt
Filed under: Elaeis guineensis (African oil palm)
Lineage: Eukaryota; Viridiplantae; Streptophyta; Magnoliopsida; Arecales; Arecaceae
Description: long non-coding RNA (EGUI_LNC029302)
Source: RNAcentral